UUCCCUGUGUUUUUUUGUUAGAAUAACAGUAAGAAUUUGUAUAACCAAACUAUGAUACAGCCUAGUUCUUGGGAAAGGACGAUAAAACAUGGUCUCUAAUCAACUAGAUUUCAUCACAGAUUAUUCACUGAAAUUGCACGCUGCGCACUGUUGAACUACAGACGUUCCGCAAGUUCUGUAACAAACACCUUUACUUUGCAAGAUAAAAGAACAUCAAAAUAGUAAUGUUGCCUAGCUAUGGUUUGUAAAGUUAUGCGUGUUUCUCCCUCAACUUGGCUGGCAACGCAUGGCACAAUCAAGCUAGCUGGCUAGUUAAAACUCCUUUCCGGAUUUAGUAUAUAACUCACAAGCUAGUCUGGCGAAGAGGAAUCGCUUGCCAAGAAGACUGAAAUGAAGCGGAAUACAGUUUAGUUGACGGCAUAAUGUGGAAGGGGUGGGAUCAAUUUGAAGCCUACAUUUCCCAGCAUUCAGCAGGAACGUCAUCAUUUUCUUUGCUUUUGUUGGACUGCAACACCCAGGAUUCCUUCAAAUAUUUUGCAGCCUCAGGUGCAGGUCAACAGCGGCCCAUUCUCACGGUGCCUCUGCCAGUGGCUGACCAGCCUGGCACUCUUCUUAAACGACACGCCGCAAAGGCAGCAGAUGUAGCAGCCGGAUCGGACGUGCCUCAGCUCGUGGCGAAAAAGACCGAGGCGGCUGCCAAACGAUCGGCCGCACUGGCACGCGUGCUCGGCAGACGGCGGCCUCCUGUGUCUCCUCCGCCGAUGCAGAGCAAGCGAAUGAGGCCAGGUGAAACGUCCGCCACAGUCUGAACAGCGGCGCGCUUCGGGGGGAAACUGCGAUCGACUGGGAGGAUGCACGUGCAGUUUAUUCAGAGCUGUAAGGGGUGAACUCUGCGAUUCAACACAGCCUUCGUCCAUAGAUUUGUCAGUAUGACUUUCAAAUAUCUGAACUUUUUUGUUCUCAGUCACUUUUGGGUUUUGCUGGCGGACAUACACUUUCUUGACAAAUCCCAUUUUGGUUGCAUCUGAGGUUUUUGUGUUGUGGCAUGGAUCAAACAUGCAGAUCUUGAGUAAUGUUUCAGGUCUUGAUUCCAAGGGAGGGAAGUCAGAGGUUUCUGCAUUCUGUGAAUUAUUGGCUAGGGACCUCCCUUGGAGGCUGAAUUUGUAAUCCUUGGGCUGGGUAUUUUUAAUGGAAACGUCCAGCCUGUUAUCUGGAAAAGUAGUGGUGUAACCGGAAGAGUUCAAUUGAGGUGAGCUUCGGGGAAAGUAUUGAGACAUCUUUGUCUUUCCCAAGAUUUCAUUCAUGAGGACUUCCCUAGACCGGAAAAGCGGGGACUGAGUGAGAACUGAAAGACUUCCCUGCAGAAUGGUAGUCACCGGCUGGUUAGAUGUCUCUGUUUCUGACAGCUCCUUGCGACGAAGGAGAGCCCUCUCCUGAGCCUUCUGCCAGCUGGACGAGUGGACCUGGGCGUGCAUAGCCAGCCAAAACUUACUUUCAAACCUUCUCCCGCAAUCUUUGCACUCAAACAACCUCAGGGUCUCAAGCAGGAGCUCCUGGCUCACCGCAGAGGUGGCAAUGGAGGCAUUGCUUUCGGGGAAUGAUUUACCGUGGACCUUCAAGUGCAGGUUGAGUUUCCAGUGGUUGGGCAGCUGCAGGCUGCACGAGCGGCACUUCAAGGGAAGGGCGCGGUGGACCCUCAAAUGAGAGCCCAAGUUGAGAUGAGAGGAAAAGGAGGCGCCGCAAAAGUUGCAUCCAUGGGCACCUUUUCCAAAUCUCCUGUUCCCUGGAUGAUUCCCAAUAACUCUGCUUCUUUCUCCCGUAAAGUCGUGUGCUAAUAUGGUUCCACUGGCCGCUGUGUCUGUUUUACUCAUGUCAUUAUCCACCAAGGCAUGCUGCUGACCACCGCGCCGAUUCAGAACACUACUGGGAUGGGGCUGGUCGACACUGUUUUCCUCAGUCUCAACAUUAUUACUCUCUACAGGGAAUGUUCCAGAAUCCUGGGUACCUCUCUGCCCUUCUGUACAAACUGGAUGGAGCCCUACCUAAAAAAAGAUAAAAAGCUACCAAUUAUUCUUAAGAAAAUGUGGAUUAUGCAAUCUCAAAUAAAUCUCAUUACACUGCC
Long non-coding RNA from Anguilla rostrata (American eel), 2122 nucleotides. RefSeq lists it as uncharacterized. Lineage: Eukaryota; Metazoa; Chordata; Actinopteri; Anguilliformes; Anguillidae. The transcript has 3 exons. The record is from RefSeq and is a predicted model, not a curated record.